UCCUGGUUAACCCAGGCAGUCUCACUAGAGUUCCCACCCUAAGUGUUGGCAACUAGUGAUAAGGGUUGCGCUCGUUGCUGGACUUAACCAAACACCUCACGGCACGAGCUGACGACAGCCAUGCAGCACCUGUGUCCCUGUCCUUUCGGAAGGCGACAUUUCUGCCGCUGUCAGGGACAUUUCAAACCUGGGUAAGGUUCUUCGCGUAGCAUCGAAUUAAACCACAUGCUCCACUGCUUGUGCGGGCCCCCGUCAAUUCUUUUAAGUUUCACCCUUGCGAGCGUACUCCCCAGGCGGUACACUUAACGCGUUAGCUACGACACAACUGGGGUUGAGACCAGUUACAUCAAGUGUACAUUGUUUACGGCGAGGACUAC
This 377-nucleotide unclassified non-coding RNA is filed under the name uncultured Chlamydiaceae bacterium. Its description in RNAcentral is "contains 16S-23S intergenic spacer region". The record is from RNAcentral. Lineage: Bacteria; Pseudomonadati; Chlamydiota; Chlamydiia; Chlamydiales; Chlamydiaceae.